Molecule: ribosomal RNA, 117 nt
Filed under: Pteropus alecto (black flying fox)
Lineage: Eukaryota; Metazoa; Chordata; Mammalia; Chiroptera; Pteropodidae
Source: RNAcentral
AACUAGAGGCAUAACCCUGAACAAAUCUGAUUCCAUCUGAUCUCAGAAGCUAAGCAGGGUCAGGCCUUGUUAGUACUUGGAUGGGAGACCACCUAGAAAGACCAGGUGCUGUAGGCA